CCCUUCUCCAGCGCGAGCGCGCGCGCGCUCUCUCUCUCCCUCCCCCUCCCCUCUCGCGACUCCUCCUCCGCCGCCACCUGCGCCACUCGAUUCCGGCGAGUCGACGCGGCUCUCGCCGGCGCGCAGCACACCCCCGGGCUCCCCUCGCGCAGCUCUUUCCUCCCCUCCCAUCAGAUGCAUCCCUCGCGCCCUCUAGUACUCGCCCGCAACCCUCACCCGUGGCUAGGGUUUCGGCCGCCACCCCUAACUUUGUCGAGAUCUGCCACAUCCGGCGACGGCGAAUCCAGAGGUGGCCGGAUCUGGCACCGGUCACCAUGGUUGUGGAUGGGACGACGACGAUGGCAGGAGGGGCGAACAUCCAUGGGACGGGCCGCCACCAUGGAGAUGGAGCUCCUUCUCCCCUACCACGCAACCUUCCUCCCAGCGCCAACAGAGGGCCGGCUACCAUGACGCGACAGCGCCGUCGCAAGCCUCGCAGGGCUGUGCAUCUCGUCGUCUGCCACGCCCUACCAGGAGCUCCAUUACCCACGCGUCUCCUCUGAGGAGGGGACGGUGGCUUGUGCGCCGGCGUGGUUGGCUCCACCUCCCCGCCGACCUAUGACUCCACAUGCGUCGCCGUCUUCGACCGCAGGUCCAUGUCCUCGAUCUGCUUCCUUUGCUUCCCGUAGGUUUCCGCAUAGAUCUGGCCGUUUGAUUUGAUGCGGAUGCGAAUUUGGAUCUCCAUCGCUGUAGGUUUCCCGUAGGUUUCCUGUUCGUACUCACGUUCGAAUUAGCAAUGAAUCCCUCAGUUUAUGCAGUUUCGUUGUGGUUGAUUGACAUCCCUGUGAAGAUAAAAUUCAGGACCAACUGUUAGCUUUUUGUGAAGCAAAAACAAUUGGUAAAAAAUCGUAGAAACCCCCAAUCAGUCGAUUUAUAGUUGACAGAAGAAGUAUGAUUUGGUGUUGGUGUGUGUGAACUUCUGACAUUUUGAUCUCUGAAUGCUAGUUGGACAUUUUGCUAGUAUGACAUUUUGAUAUCUGAAUGCUAGUUUGACAUUUUGAUAUCUGAAUCCGUUUCUCUUCCCCUCAUCUUUUCUUCUUCUGCUCUCUGUCUUACCCCCUUCUCAUCUCUCUUUCGAACCAGGACGUCACCAUGGGAGAAGAAGGCGUGAUGUGUUGUGCUGCUGCUUGGGAGGGACGCCAUGGGCCUCCCUACUCUGCUUCUUCUCUUCCCCUAACUCCAUCAAGGUGAUGGAUUGGUACAACGACCUACUCCCCUGCUUCCUAUGUUAAUUUGGUGUGCGAUGUGGAUGUGAUGUAUUUUAGGCAUGAUUAAAUACGUAUUUUGGUUCAACUCUGACUGAAACAACUUGUUGGUUCAGUUUCUUGUAUGAAGAACAAAUAUGACGAACACUUUUUCUUUUCCUUUUUGUUCAAGAUUCAUUUCUAAUUCUAAACCAAACUGAAAUUGCAAAUAGUCUAGAAUGAAUGAAGCAGAGAGUCCUUCCUUCUUUGGCAGCUGGACAAUUCCUUCUCAAGGUGCUGGUGUUUGUGGAGGUGAUUGACCUCUUUUUUUUACUCUGUGUAUCAAGGUGCAGCUGCUGAGCAUUGAUAGGUGUUGUUCGGUGUACCUCGACAUGAUUUCCAGGACAUGAAAUGUCAGCUAUCUAAGCUGCUCCUUUGUUCCUGGACAUGAUUUAUCCUUCGAUUUGAUCAACAUUAUCUUGUUAUGUCUCUUGUCCGUCAUGUGCAGCGGCAACAGGAUUUGCAGAGUACAAGGGUGGGCUCAUCGAGGUUUGCGGUGGUAGGCUCGCUCGGCCCCAGCGUCUUCUGUUGAACGGACAUGCCGCCUCUUCGGCGUCGGCUACAUGAGAGCCAUGGAAUCAAUGAUGCCGACCUUAUUGCUGGGCACUGUGCUUUUGGUGUAUGAUAUGGCUGGGAGAAAACACAUAGUUUCCUGCUGGUUUAUUACAUAUCAGCCAGUACUGUACGGAGUAGUAUAUAAGGACGUUUUACUGUAGUAUGGCUGAGGCAGUGACUAGCUUGGUAGUUAGUACUAGCUGAGAAAAUUCAUGAUGCUGGCUGGGAGCAAAAAGUUUAUAGGCUUAGUUGUUGUAUUGGUUCUAUUGUUGUAUGGGGAUAUAUGCAUAGAUAUGUAACAUGUGGGUUCCAAGCA
This is a non-coding RNA of Aegilops tauschii subsp. strangulata, 2154 nucleotides long. The record is from RefSeq and is a predicted model, not a curated record. Lineage: Eukaryota; Viridiplantae; Streptophyta; Magnoliopsida; Poales; Poaceae.